GAUGAACGCUGGCGGCGCGCCUAACACAUGCAAGUCGAACGAUUAAAGCACCUUCGGGUGUGUAUAAAGUGGCGAACGGCUGAGUAACACGUGGGCAACCUGCCCCUCUCAUUGGGAUAGCCACGGGAAACCGUGGAUAAUACCGAAUACUUCGGGACUUCCGCAUGGAAGACUCGAGAAAGCUCCGGCGGAGAGGGAUGGGCCCGCGGCCUGUUAGCUUGUUGGUGGGGUAAUGGCCUACCAAGGCAAUGAUGGGUAGCUGGGUUGAGAGACCGACCAGCCAGAUUGGGACUGAGACACGGCCCAGACUCCUACGGGAGGCAGCAGUGGGGAAUCUUGCACAAUGGGCGAAAGCCUGAUGCAGCGACGCCGCGUGCGGGAUGAAGGCCUUCGGGUUGUAAACCGCUUUCAGCAGGGACGAGGCGAAAGUGACGGUACCGGCAGAAGAAGCCCCGGCGAACUACGU
Molecule: ribosomal RNA, 466 nt
Filed under: uncultured bacterium
Lineage: Bacteria
Description: partial 16S ribosomal RNA
Rfam family: Bacterial small subunit ribosomal RNA
Source: RNAcentral